AGAAGAAGAAGAAGAAGAAAGUUGGUGGAAAUUGAAGCUCAGGUGCUACAAGUGCAUACACUUCAGUGGGUCCUUCAGAUUACUGAUACUAAUAAUAGAUUCUGCUGCAAUUCCUCUUCUUUGAUUCUUUCCUUUAUUUAUCACUGGAUCAAGCUCUGUAAGUUUCAUAUUCAUUGUUCUUGAGUUCCUGGAUUUGGAGAUUGAAUAACAAUAAAGAAUAUCAGAUUGAAGGGGAUAUUGAAGAGGGCACUUAGCUGAUUAGGGACAUUGUUAUAAGAAAAUAUAGGUUUUAUUAUUAUUAUUAUCUAAGUAGUGGGACUACUGGGUUCCCAGUUACAUGUACCCAGAUUUUUUUUACCCAUUUUAUACAAUAGCUAUAUUAAAUUUUGUCUACUCUUAGAGAGGUUAUGGUUUUAGAGCUUGUAUGAAUGUUCUAU
Molecule: unclassified non-coding RNA, 437 nt
Filed under: Hevea brasiliensis (rubber tree)
Lineage: Eukaryota; Viridiplantae; Streptophyta; Magnoliopsida; Malpighiales; Euphorbiaceae
Source: RNAcentral